UACACCUGGGUGUAUCCCUGCUGUGUCUGAAUGGGUCCAGGUGUGCCCCAGGUGUGUUUGGGUGUGGCCCAGGUGUGUCUGAAUGGGUCCAGGUGUGCCCCAGGUGUGUUUGGGUGUGGCCCAGGUGUGUCUGAAUGGGUCCAGGUGUGCCCCAGGUGUGUUUGAGUAUGUCCCAGGUGUGUCUGAAUGGGUCCAGGUGUGCCCCAGGUGUGUUUGGGUGUGGCCCAGGUGUCUCUGGAUGUGUCCCAGGUGUAUCCCAGAUGCAUCUGGGUGGGGUCCAGGUGUGUCCUGGUGUGGCUGGAUGUAUCCCACCUGUAACCCAGGUGUGUCUGGGUGUAUCCCAAGUGCGUCCCAGGUGUGCCCAGGUGUGUUCUAAGUGCCCCCAGGUGUGCCCGGGUGUACCCCAGCACACCUAGGUGUGCCCAGGUGUGCUCUAAGUGCCCCCAGGUGUGCCCCAGCACCCCCAGGUGUGCCCAGG
Long non-coding RNA from Oenanthe melanoleuca, 478 nucleotides. RefSeq lists it as uncharacterized. The transcript has 3 exons. Lineage: Eukaryota; Metazoa; Chordata; Aves; Passeriformes; Muscicapidae. The record is from RefSeq and is a predicted model, not a curated record.